This 431-nucleotide ribosomal RNA is filed under the name uncultured bacterium. Its description in RNAcentral is "partial 16S ribosomal RNA". It matches the Rfam family "Bacterial small subunit ribosomal RNA", at positions 29 to 507 of the family's 1533-position model. The record is from RNAcentral.
AACGAACGCUGGCGGCAGGCUUAACACAUGCAAGUCGAACGCCCCGCAAGGGGAGUGGCAGACGGGUGAGUAACGCGUGGGAACAUACCCUUUUCCACGGAAUAGCUCUGGGAAACUGGAAUUAAUACCGUAUACGCCCUACGGGGGAAAGAUUUAUCGGGGAAGGAUUGGCCCGCGUUGGAUUAGCUAGUUGGUGGGGUAAAGGCCUACCAAGGCGACGAUCCAUAGCUGGUCUGAGAGGAUGAUCAGCCACAUUGGGACUGAGACACGGCCCAAACUCCUACGGGAGGCAGCAGUGGGGAAUAUUGGACAAUGGGCGCAAGCCUGAUCCAGCCAUGCCGCGUGAGUGAUGAAGGCCUUAGGGUUGUAAAGCUCUUUCACCGAUGAAGAUAAUGACGGUAGUCGGAGAAGAAGCCCCGGCUAACUUCGUG